GUGCUCACUUCAGCAGCACAUGUACUAAAAUUGGAGUGAAACAGAGAAGAUUAGCAUGGCCCCUACGCAACAAUGACAUGCACAUUUGUGACGUAUUCUACUUUUUU
RNAcentral lists this small nuclear RNA (107 nucleotides) under Carlito syrichta (Philippine tarsier). The record is from RNAcentral. Lineage: Eukaryota; Metazoa; Chordata; Mammalia; Primates; Tarsiidae.